GAUGAACGCUGGCGGCGUGCCUAAUACAUGCAAGUCGAGCGAACGGACGAGAAGCUUGCUUUUCUGAUGUUAGCGGCGGACGGGUGAGUAACACGUGGAUAACCUACCUAUAAGACUGGGAUAACUUCGGGAAACCGGAGCUAAUACCGGAUAAUAUUUUGAACCGCAUGGUUCAAAAGUGAAAGACGGUCUUGCUGUCACUUAUAGAUGGAUCCGCGCUGCAUUAGCUAGUUGGUAAGGUAACGGCUUACCAAGGCAACGAUGCAUAGCCGACCUGAGAGGGUGAGCGGCCACACUGGAACUGAGACACGGUCAAGACUCCUAGGGGAGGAAGAAGUAGGGAAUCUUCCGCAAGGGGCGAAAGCCUGACGGAGAAACGCCGCGUGAGUGAUGAAGGUCUUCGGAUCGUAAAACUCUGUUAUUAGGGAAGAACAUAUGUGUAAGUAACUGUGCACAUCUGGACGGUACCUAAGCAGAAAGCCACGGCUAACUACGU
This 496-nucleotide ribosomal RNA is filed under the name uncultured bacterium. RNAcentral's name for it is "partial 16S ribosomal RNA". It matches the Rfam family "Bacterial small subunit ribosomal RNA", at positions 28 to 506 of the family's 1533-position model. The record is from RNAcentral.